This 486-nucleotide long non-coding RNA is filed under the name Equus asinus (donkey). RNAcentral describes it as "lncRNA (ENSEASG00005026936.1)". The record is from RNAcentral. Lineage: Eukaryota; Metazoa; Chordata; Mammalia; Perissodactyla; Equidae.
AGAGGUCCCACGGUGGGAACAGUGAGACACUGCUCUGAUUCACAAUGCUUCCAUGAUGCUUGAGUCACAGAGGAUAACUCAGAAGUUGUUACCAGUGCUCCUUAUGCUCCACAAAAUCCUAAUUUUACAGGCACCAUCCCAGCCAUUAGAUAUACUGCAGUGUUAAACUUCACUAUUUCAGUUGGCUCUUUCACCUUGGCAUUUCGCUACCAUCACCUCCCCAAGUGUUUUCACAGAGCAGCCUUCAAGACAAACUUUCCUUCGAGACCAGUCAACGUGCAUUCCUACCAUUUCUUCACCUCCGUCCACGUAACCGGUUCCUGUUCCUACCGUUUUACUAGAACUGCUCUUCCCAAGAGAACCAGUGACCUCGUGGUGACUAAGGGCAAGUCCAAGUUUGUUCUAGCCAUUGCUUCUCCUCUACAACCUGUGAGCCUGCACAGGAAGCCACCAAAUGAAAAUUGAAACUCUCUGAAGAGAUCAUCC